Cyprinus carpio carpio is the source of this 3014-nucleotide long non-coding RNA. NCBI's taxonomy places the organism in Eukaryota, Metazoa, Chordata, Actinopteri, Cypriniformes, Cyprinidae. The record is from Ensembl.
UCAAAAUUGGCAUAGUAUUUUUUAUACAGAAGGUGCUCUGGAAAAGGGCCUUACAGUGUUAUCCUGAGCCAGUCUUUGAUUGUUCAGUGUGGAACGGAAGAACUUCAGUGCACCAUUGAUGUUGGCGCAAGAAUAGACAGUGGCUCCUUGACCCUGAGGAUGUGAAAAGUAAAUUAGUCAGGGAACCAUACUAGUUCUUAAAUAUUAGAAUAUAAUAAAAGAAGCAUGAUUGAAAAAACAUUUGGAUUUUAUCUCUUACACUGUUGUCUCGAGAGAGGCCAGCUCCAAUGUAACCAUCUGACUCGCCACUGAGUUCAAAGGUAAAAUUAUCUGCACUUCCGCUUACUCCUUUUGCAGAUAGGAAAUAACAGGAAUCUUGUGCACCUGGAUUACAAGUAGGUGGAGCAGAGAAACAUGCUCUAUCCCUCCUGCAGUUAUCCCUGCCAGUGAUAUCCUGCAGUGAACAAGAGGUCAAAUUAAAAAGAAAGAAAAAAAUUAUAAAAAUUAAUUGUUAUCCUUUAAAAGCAACUUUCACUUCAAGUCAGGAUUCUUAUUAUUUGCAUUUUUGAGCAAGAAAAAGGGCUUACUAGUGAUAGAUUAUUGACGUUGCUGUUGUUCAAGGUAUUAGAGCCUGAUGGUGUCGCAGUCAGGUUAGCAAUCACGGUGGAAGGGCGUGUUUGAGUCUGGUUGGCGGUUAUGUUGGGAGGGUUUGUCUGGGUCAGGUUGGCGGUUAUGUUGGGAGGGUUUGUCUGGGUCAGGUUGGCGGUUAUGUUGGGAGGGUGUGUCUGGGUCAGGUUGGCGGUUAUGUUGGGAGGGUGUGUCUGGGUCAGGUUGGCGGUUAUGUUGGGAGGGUGUGUCUGGGUCAGGUUGACGGUUAUGUUGGGAGGGUUUGUCUGGGUCAGGUUGGCGGUUAUGUUGGGAGGGUUUGUCUGGGUCAGGUUGGCGGUUAUGUUGGGAGGGUUUGUCUGGGUCAGGUUGGCGGUUAUGUUGGGAGGGUUUGUCUGGGUCAGGUUGGCGGUUAUGUUGGGAGGGUUUGUCUGGGACAGGUUGGCGGUUAUGUUGGGAGGGUUUGUCUGGGUCAGGUUGGCGGUUAUGUUGGGAGGGUUUGCCUGGGUCAGGUUGACGGUUAUGUUGGGAGGGUUUGUCUGGGUCAGGUUGGCGGUUAUGUUGGGAGGGUGUGUCUGGGUCAGGUUGGCGGUUAUGUUGGGAGGGUUUGUCUGGGUCAGGUUGGCGGUUAUGUUGGGAGGGUGUGUCUGGGUCAGGUUGGUGGUUAUGUUUGGAGGGUUUGUCUGGGUCAGGUUGGUGGUUAUGUUGGGAGGGUAUGUUUGGGGCAGGAUAGCGGUUAUGUUGGGAGGGUGUGUUUGGGUCAGGUUGGUGGUUAUGUUGGGAGUUUGUGUUUGGGGCAGGUUGGUGGUUAUGUUGGAAGGGUGUGUUUGUGUCAGGUUAGCGGUCAUGUUGAAAGGGCCCAUCUGGGUUGGGUUUGUGGUCAUAUUAAAAGGGCUCAUCUGGUUCGGGUUUGUGGUCAUGUUGAGAGGGCCCAUCUGGGAUAGGUUUGUAGUCAUAUUAAGAGGGCCUAUCUGGGUAAGGCUGGUGGUCAUGUUGAGAGGACCAAUCUGGGUUGGGUUUGUGGUCAUGUUAAAAGGGCUUAACUGGUCGGGGUUUGUGGUCAUGUUGAGAGGGCCCAUCAGGGAUGGGUUUGUAGUCAUAUUAAGAGGGCCAGUCUGGGUAAGGCUGGUGGUCAUGUUGAGAGGACCCAUCUGGGUAAGGUUAAGGUUUAUGUUGGGAGGUCCUGUUUGAGUUAAGUUUGAAGUUAUGUUGAAGGGACCGACCUGGUUUAGGUUGGUGGUCAUGCUGGGUGGGUUCGUCUGGGUCAGGUUGGUGGUAAUGUUGGGUGGUAGUGUCUGGGUCAGGUUGGUGGUCAUGUUGGUUGGUAGCGUCUGGGUCAGGCUGGUGGUCAUGUUAGAAGAUAUCCAGCUGUCUGUAGAGUUGCUACUGCUUGUUGUAUUGCUCCCAUUGACUCCAAGCAUCAUGCAUGCUAUCCCCAGGAUAGCCACAUAAAUCCAUUUACUCCUCAUCCGUGAUCUUUAUGUGCUUAUGUAUCUGUUAAUCGUGCAGUUUUUGUUACCUAUAAUUUAAAAGAAAACAAAUCAUCUUGUAUAAUCAACAAAAAAAAAUAAACAUUUUGGAUAAUUUAAAUUUGAUUUUAAAAGCCAUUAACGAAAGGCAGGCUUUAUCUGAAAGACUUUGUCGUUCAUAAUCUUUUAUCAUUCCUUCCCAGACACAAACAAGCAUGAACCUGGAUCCUCAAUUCAUCAACACCUUAGUUUAUUUACCACAUCUUAUUUAGCAAUAUGGUAUUCAUAAAUAUUAUGGCAUUUUAACAAUUUAACCUUAACACUAACAUACGAGUUUUGCUUAAUGUCUUUUCAUUUCUUUAUCUCAGCAAUGGUUGUUUGUUUGAUGGAACUAAGAGGCUAUCUAUGCAAUCUUCAAAUAAUUCUUGUUACACAACAUUAUAUACUACACAGUGCAACCAUUUAACCUUCUUACUAUGGUAAAGUGUAAAAUUACAGAAUUUGAUAGAUCCUCAAAAUCCAUCCUCAAAACUAAGUGAGCAUAAAAAAAUAAAAUUUUUGCAACUAAAAACUUUUUUUUUUUAAUGUAUGCUUUAGAAGUCAGUGGCUCCUUAGUCAUUCCAUAGUCUCUCGAAAAGUUGGGUCGUUCAGACAGGAUAGCACCGUCCAAUAACACAAAGUAUUUUUAUUUUUUUUCCAGAGUAGACACAACAUUUUGUAAAAAUGUACCAAAAAUUAAAUAAUACAUAAUUGACUUCUAUUUUUAUAACUAAUUUGAAUUAUAAUAUAAAGAUAAAAUAUAUUCAAUUGAUAGGCUAUCUAAUAUUCAUUCAGUACAAUGCAUAAUAAGAUUUGUAAUUUAUGAUCAAACUCAGAUAAAAUAAUAAAAAAUAAAAAAAAACAGCAUGCAUUGGUAUCUGAACAAACAGGAAAAAACAG